AAUACCAAAACGUUAUAAAUGAAGUCAUUUAACUUUUAAAAUGAAUACUUUAAAAAUAUACAUCAAGCUCAUUCUCGGACAUAUCCAAUCGAUUAAUCCAACACCUUUGAUCUCUUUCUACCCCCAAAUACUUAACCAUACAUUUCUUGCACAACUCCCCCAUGUGUGACAUCUCACCAUACAUCUUAUCAUCACUCAUUCCUUAUGCGGUGCCAAAAAAUCCUUGUGAAUUAUCUAUUUAAUGGGUUUGUUUUGUCAAUGUGCAGCAGAUGAUGAGUGCAUCAUAAUUGGCCACAAGUUCGCAUUACAGACAUUAAUAGGAGUUCGUCGAUUGCAUCAACAACAUCUAAGGAGAAGAUGGUGCCAGCAUUAAUUACAACAAUGGCACAAUAGUAAUAUUAAAUUAUGUCGAGAUGGUUGAGGUCAAUGUUAAUGUCGAUGAUGAGAGUAAGAGCAACAAGAGACACAUGGUAUCAACAAGGACAAUGAAGUUGUCAAAGGAGAGGAUGGCCUUGUCAAAAUGAGAAUGGUUGCCAAAGAAUAUGAAUGUUAGUGGAUAUUUUAGAAGCAUGACUUUAGGGAGUGUGGGAGAUAAAGUGUUUUGAUCCAUUUAUGAUUGAAAUUUUCAAAAGAUAUUAC
This 639-nucleotide long non-coding RNA is filed under the name Carica papaya (papaya). RNAcentral's name for it is "long non-coding RNA (CPAP_LNC005945)". The record is from RNAcentral. Lineage: Eukaryota; Viridiplantae; Streptophyta; Magnoliopsida; Brassicales; Caricaceae.